CCUACGGGUGGCAGCAGUGGGGAAUAUUGCACAAUGGGCGAAAGCCUGAUGCAGCAACGCCGCGUGAAGGAAGAAGGGUUUCGGCUCGUAAACUUCUAUCAACAGGGACGAAAGAAAUGACGGUACCUGAAUAAGAAGCCCCGGCUAACUACGAGCCAGAAGCCGCGGGAAUACGUAGGGGGCAAGCGUGAUCCGGAAUUACUGGGUGUAAAGGGUGCGUAGGCGGCAUGGUAAGCCAGAUGUGAAAGCCUUGGGCUUAACCCGAGGAUUGCAAUUGGGACUCUCAAGCUAGAGUACAGGAGAGGACCGCGUAAUUCCUAGUGUAGCGGUGAAAUGCGUAGAUAUUAGGAAGAACACCAGUGGCGAAGGCGGCUUUCUGGACUGAAACUGACGCUGCGGCUCGCAAGCGUGGGGAGCGCACAGGAUUAGAUACCCUUAGUC
RNAcentral lists this ribosomal RNA (441 nucleotides) under uncultured bacterium. RNAcentral's name for it is "partial 16S ribosomal RNA". It matches the Rfam family "Bacterial small subunit ribosomal RNA", at positions 338 to 795 of the family's 1533-position model. The record is from RNAcentral.